RNAcentral lists this ribosomal RNA (463 nucleotides) under uncultured bacterium. RNAcentral's name for it is "bacterial SSU rRNA". It matches the Rfam family "Bacterial small subunit ribosomal RNA", at positions 52 to 507 of the family's 1533-position model. The record is from RNAcentral.
UACAUGCAAGUCGAGCGAGAAGGUGUAGCACUACACUUAGUAAAGCGGCGAACGGGUGAGGAAUGCAUGGGUAACCUACCCUCGAGUGGGGAAUAACUAGCCGAAAGGUUAGCUAAAUACCGCAUACGUUUCCGGAACUUCGGUUUCGGAAAGAAAGCAAUACCGUGGGUAUUGCGCUCCUGGAUGGGCUCAUGUCCUAUCAGCUUGUUGGUGAGGUAACGGCUCACCAAGGCUUCGACGGGUAGCUGGUCUGAGAGGACGAUCAGCCACACUGGCACUGCGACACGGGCCAGACUCCUACGGGAGGCAGCAGUAAGGAAUAUUGCGCAAUGGACGAAAGUCUGACGCAGCGACGCCGCGUGGGGGAUGAAGGUCUUCGGAUUGUAAACCCCUUUCGGGAGGGAAGAUGGAGUGGGUAACCACUUGGACGGUACCUCCAGAAGCAGCCACGGCUAACUUCGUG